Molecule: non-coding RNA, 9216 nt
Organism: Anas platyrhynchos (mallard)
Lineage: Eukaryota; Metazoa; Chordata; Aves; Anseriformes; Anatidae
Source: RefSeq, a predicted model, not a curated record
AAAUGCCAUUUACCUUUAGACUCUGACCUGCUUUCGUCAGGUGCUAACAUGUUCUUGUGGAGAAAAUAAACAUCACAAGCAUCUGGGCAUAUAGUUUUAUAUGCCCUAGGGUUGCACGCUACUUUCCUGAAUGAGAUCUCUCCAGAAAACUCUAUCCACGUUCUCAUUUAAAGGCCAGGUCAUCAUUUUUCAGCUGCAUCCAGAGCCCUGGGGAACAACCUGGGAGGAAAAUAGUGAUUUGCUGAAUCAUCGCCUCUUCCCUGCUGCCCUGGAGGAGGACAGAGGCAUCUGCAGCUAUUCGGUUUCUCUAACAGCAUCUUCUCAUGGCUGCACUGGCGCUAACACCUUGGGAUCAUGGUCCUGCCUCAGGUUCCUCAUAUUAGAUCAGGAUGCCAUCUGCCAUCGCUGGCACAGAAGAUCAAGCCAUGAAACCCAGCAGGGUGAGGGAGGAAGACCUGGCUGGAAAUCAGUAUGAAUUUAUUUCAUGCUCUCCUUCAUAGGGAGAAGAGAGGUUUGGGGGGAAAGCACUGGACUGAAAAGAUCAAAGCAGAUAGGAAUGAGUUAAUGAGUACGCUUCUCAAAAGGAAUAAUUCUCCUGACAUCUCGAGGGACGGGUGAAGGGCAUAUUGCCUCGUCAGUUAAACACAGCCGUUAGUUUUGAGCCCAUACUAAUUAGCCAGCUUACGAAAACCUGCGUCUCAGCAGUUCUAAAAGCGGACGGCAGCCUCUGCCACUCCUCAGCACAGAUAUAUUUGUCUACAUCCUCUCAGAGUGACAUGCUGGUACAGAGGCGGCUUAGUUAGUAGUUAAAAGAGAACCUAACAUUAAGCGAGGCUCCAUCCAGCAUUUUUCUCACUUGCUACAUCCAGGUCAGCCCAGGACAAACCACUGUGAAUAAGGAGUGGGAAGCUCGCUGUGUGCUGGGAUCCCGCUUGCACAACAGAGCAAACUGCAGCCGUGCCAAGACCCAAGUCACUUCCCUCUGACUGCGCUGGCUUGCACCUGCAUAAGCAAGAAUCGUGGUCCCUAAUCUCUACGGAGCUUAACCAGAACAGAGGGGAGGAGGGUAAAGCUCACUUUUGCAGAAAAAAACAUGUGGGAAGAGACAGCAGUAUUACAGCAAGAGCAGAAUACAUGAGAUAAAGAUUCAAUGUUGCUUCAAAAGGCUUUAAAAAGAUUCACUUUCACUCCCAGCCCUUCAUUUCCCAUGCUAUAAUUCAGGGCUGCUAAGCCAUGACUGCACAGAAGGGGCCCUGGAAGCCACUGGUAUGGCUAAGGUGCUCGGGUGCAGUAGUGAUGGGUGCCCAGGGAGGUUCUGCAGAUGUACCAUUUCCACUCAACAGGAGAACCUCAAUUACAGUGCUUAGCUAUCCCUAUUUUUUUUCCCCAGUAAAUGGAUAUUAGAGGUGCCUGGACAGAGCUGCAUAAAGCUGUGAUUCCAGACUUAUUGUCUGCUGCUGUGGAGUAAUCUCCAUCACAUCUCACAGAGGGAAGCACACAGCAUCCAUCUCCUCUGACUCCAGAGAGUCUCAGCUGAAGCACAUCUACAGGCCUCCUGCAGAGCCCUCAGUCCCAGAGUGGCUCUUGCUGCCCAACAGAACCCUUUCAUCACAGUUUCUGUUUGUUCGUGCAUUUGUUUGUUUUUCCUUUGCCACCCCAAACACAAGGACUGGGUGGUUUGGGCUCAGGAAUCUCUCACAAACGUACAUUGACCCUAAUGCCAGGCAAAGGGAUUUUGCUGCUGCUGCAUGCCAGUGGAAGCCACAUUACAGAAAGGAGCAGGAUAUUCUUGCAAUGCACUUCUCUUGGUCUGUUCCAGUGUUUGGGGCUCUUCCAGCAUGCCCUAGUCAAUCUGUCAUCUGCUAAAUUUUGGAGCUGCUGACCCCUUGCAUGGCUGGCACACAUGCACACAUCAGGGUGCCUUGGCUCAGCAGAUUUAGGCUUUCUGAAUCCUAAUGCAGUGCAGAAUUAGCCUCCAAACCCACAGUAGCUCUGACAGUGAAGCCAGGCUGCUCACAUUGGUCCUUGAUCCCACGGUGCUGUGCUUGGGCAGGGGUGUGGGCAGCCCUCAGUACAGCUCCCCAGAAGGCAAGCUGAGCUCUCCAGCAGUACAGGCUCCCCUGCCAUGCCCCCUGAUGCCACCUUGGUCUUGCAGAGAAGGAGCAUGCUGCUCCCCCCCACUACUUUCUUGUAGCAUUUUGUUUAAAAAUCAAUCCUCCAAAAGUAUGUAAAGCAGAACCAUCUGACUUAUUGUCCACAGUGAAUAUAAUUCAUAACUUUACGCCAGAAAUUUACAAUCCCCUUUCGUGUAUAAAAAGUUUCCUGCCACGGUUUUACAUCUACUCCACGGCUCUGCUCUGGAUGGAAACACUUGGUGUAAUCUCUUUAGAGAUAAAUAAGCCCUCUGCUGAAAGUUAAAUGAUGCCAUUAUUUUCUGGAUGUUUAUAGACAUCAUCCUGCCUCGCUCCCAUGCCUGGAUCCAAGACAGCCCCAAUCUUUGUUUUCCAUUUCCGAAAGCUCUGGAGGAGAGAAUGAACACGAGUGUGUAGGAGGGGCAGAGGGGCAGGCAAGGCGAGCCAGAGCUGGUUUCACACACAAACGUGCCUGCUCUGGAGAGCCAAGUGGCAGAUGAUGGACACCCCAGCUGCUUCCUUGGCCAGGAGCGUGUUUAGUCUAGGAUGCAGCCUGGAUCCUAGCAGGGCUGGGAAAGGAGAUGACAAUUGCAAGAGACGUGGGGAGCAGGACCCAGACUCCAGCCAUGGCAAGGAAACCUUCACAGAUAAAAGCCCCUUGAGCAUGGCUGUGCUCCUCAAAGCCGUCCUACUCUUCCAUCACCUAGUUGCAGUGCAAGAAUACAGGGCAGGGACCCAGAGGGAGGAGGUAGGACCAGUUCACAGAGCCACCCUUUCCAGUGACAGCACCUAAGUACCAUUAUCCCAUGUGGAAAUUGAGGGACCUGUGGAGAACACACUGACAUGGGCUGGUUUCCCAGCCUCGAGAAGUUGGCAUUGAAGCUGCAGACGUGACUAAAGCAGAGCCCACAGGAGCAGGGGGCAAAGAUAAGGCAGAUCAUGGGAGAGCUGUGACAGAGGAUGGACUGGAGAACAGCUUUUCUUCCAUUGCACAGAGGCCAAACCCACCACACGCAGUUGCUCGCUGGUACAUCAGCAGAGCAGGAAAAUCAAUGCAAUCUGGUCAGGCUCUUAAAGGAGAAACCAGUCUGAAUGCCCUGUGUCACUCUUUUCUACCUUGAGCUCUAAGCAAGAGGAUAUCAAACGAAAAUAUGUUCAAAAGAGAAAGGCUAUAGUAAUACAGACAUCUCCUUCAGUGGGUUUAGCUGGCAUCGCAACAAUGUCAUGAGCAAGAAGAGAGUUGCCUCUGGCUUUUUCUCCCCCUCUUAUCACUUACAGUCAUCCACUCAAUUAAGUUUCCAAUGCUAUGCUUUCUAGUUUCCCAUUAUCCUCCCACACUCCCAGCAUCUUUAAUAUCACACAUUUAUUUCCACGCUACCUAGUGGUUUGUUACAACCACCUACCUGGAUGGCCUUAUCCCAAGAAAUGGGUAAGAUGCCCUCAUGACCAUCCUAGAAACAGUUUGUCUAUUAUCGAUGACAAAUGUCCCAUUGUCCAGGAACACUCAGCCCAGAAAACAUCUCGAGAUCCCUUCCAGUGCUGCAUAUCCUGGUUUUCAUGAAAUAAUAGCAUGUAUCCACAGACCUGAAAGUAUGUCCAACUACCUAUAUGGGCUUUUUAUUUCCAAGAAAGGCCUGAAUAUUUUUAUUCUACACACUGUUUGCAUUUCCAAUAGUUUAUUAUUACUUUUAAAGAAUCUAGUUAAAAAGGAGAAAUAUGGUUCCUAUGAAGCAGAUACGGAAUUGCCAGAACAGCCUCAGUUUGGCGCAAGUUUUGGAAAUCUGGAAUUAUUUGCUAAGUAAAAGGGUUUUGCUGUUAUAUGAUACAUUAAAUAUUCCCCUAAGAAAUCCUUUAAUCAAGGAAAUGUUUUGUUUCAGGGUGGAAUUGGACUGUGGGCUAAAUCAUCAUUCAUGUUAACUAGAGUUUAAAGUGUCAAAGGUCUGAAACACAUAGGGCAUCAUUUACAACUGGUAAAGAUGGCUUAUAGCUUGCUCUAGGUCAUAAAUUAUCUGUCUGCCCACCUACCAUCUGCACAUUUAUUGCUUGUAUGCCAUUUAAAUGUUUUUUUAAAGUAUUUCAGCUUAAAUAAAAUUAGCAAUGGGCAAAAAGAGAUGAAUUUAAAUUGGCUGCUCAAUUCCAAACCUUAACAGGAAUUUAAAAGGGCUUUGGAAAUGGCUCGAUACAGCCUUGUUUCUCAGUCUCCUACUGAAUGCUGUGUUUUCUCACUGGGGCGGGAGCCACAGGUCAUCCUCAAAUGACAGGAAACCACUUAGCUAAUUUGGUGCCUUUCUGACUUAGUACUUACGCCAUCAGCAGAACAGGUGAUUGAGAACUGCCUCAGUGUUGAAUGUGUUAAUUAAUGCAGCCGUAGGCUGCUGGGCCCUGACAAAGGAGAUGGCUCCUUCUGCAAGUUACUGCUGAAGUCCCUGGGAAGCCGGAGGUAUAAGGAGGUCAGGAACAAACCCUGAACUCCACAGCAGUUUUCUUUAUCUCACAGGAAGCCUGCUUCUAAGCUGUAGGAGAGCAAACCUGAGGCUAUUUGUUUCCAGUGCUUUCCCUUCCCCAGAGUGAGUGGCUUCUGCAGGUUUGUUUCUGCUGGCUUUGGAAGCACAGUGAUUCCAAGUGCAGCAGUUCCCUCAGCCACUUUUAAUUGCUUUGUAGCAUGAGUACCACAGCUCACAGUGCCCUCUCAGAUUUUUGGCUUGCAGUAAAAUCCACACGUAGGUGACUCCAGAGAAGUCCUGCAUGUCUUCCCAUGGUACAGCAAUCUCAUAGCUGCAAUGGAGGCAGCUCUCCCAGUGCUCAAAGACCCUGACCAGAACAAGACACCAGGCAAGAUUUCUAGCAGGCUGACAAUACUGCCUUCCCCCAAACCAGUUUUUAGGCAGCUGUACCUCUGCCUGUGCUUUCUGUGUGCAAAAAACUGCACGCACAUUUUAGGUUAAACCCAUAGCUGGAUUGCAGAUGAUUCGUGAAGUGGCUGCUUCACCGUGGGAAGGCUGGUUAGUGGCUCAGGGCUUCCCCUCACAGCAUGCGAAUCAUCCUCUCACGGAAGGAUCCCAGUUGGAAGGGAUCUCGGGAGAUCCUCAAAGCUGGGUCAGCACAGAGUUUAGUCCAGAAAUGACAUGAUGCGAUUCUUCUGCCAGUCAUGGUGGGAGCAAAACCCUUUUGGCGCUUCCUGCCAAGGAGGUGUGUGGGUGCCUGUGAGAAAGAAGAGGAGGGGAGGAGAUAUGGUCUGUUUUAGGAACCGAGAUAAGAAACUUUACUGGCAGUUGAGCCCAAAAGGCUGUAGGGAAGGAAGGAAGGGAACAGAGAAAUUAAUCUUGGGUGUUUGAGAUAAGAGUCAUGGUUUCAGAAAACAUAUUUUUUUUAUUUAUUCUUCAGAACCUUGAGGACAGGGAGCAAAUUAUGAUAUAUGGUCUAACUCCUCUGAUCUUUUAUGUCAUGCAGGCAUUUGCACUUAGGGCAAGUGACUGAAGAAAAGCUGUGCUGCUGCUUGUGCUACCUCUGCCCAGGAUAAGGACAAAUGGAAUCACAUCAGGUACAAGAAAAAGGAGGAGUCAGCGCAUGCUUUAUCAGUUCUACAUAAUGCAAGCUGGUCCUGAGGGAAAUCUCUCCCUGUCGUGAGACAGAGUAAACCUGGCAAAGGAUAAAAUACAUCUUUAGCCACUACCCAAAAAAGACUGCAUCUUUUCCAUGGGCACCUUUCUUCAAUCAGAAAUUUCUGACUUUUUGGUUCAACCUCCACUGACAGUGGCUUCUUACUGUAGUCAAGCCUGAUCUGCCAGGAUGCCAACUUCAUAUUCUCAGGAUAAUCACAGAUUACAAAUAUAUUUGUUUUAGAUGUCCGUGGCACUCACAGAAAUACAGCUUGCAACUUGUACCUGCCCAGAUCCAGUUUAGGGACAUCUCUAAAAUAGUUGCAUCCGCUUUAAGACAGUUUUUCAUUCAACAGCAUGAGCAUAUAAUAUCUUCAAGGUUUGGUUUCCAAUGCAAUUGUCAUAAUGAUUUGCAACUGGUAGUGCCCCAGUUUGAUGUCCCUGUGCUUUUUUGAGUCAGACAGUAAAGAUGAGGAACUGGCACCAGAGGUUCACCUCAUCACCUUACUAACUCCCAUUUAGUCCCAUUUCAGUGGGAGUUGUAUGUGUCUAAGGACUUCCAUGUCCAAUGGAAUGUCCAAGGACAUUCAAGGUCAGGUUUUCAAAGCUCUCUGGCACGUGCAGGGCUCCUUGGGAUGCUCAUGUUUCUACACUGGUGAAGAACCUCUAAGAGAUGCAAAGUGGGAUUUGGGUAUCUCUAGGAAUCCCCUCUGUCUCCUGCAUCCCUAUAAAGUUUGCUGUAGGGCAGACUCGAAACAGCAAAGGUCCUUGAACUACACCCACUCCCAUCAAUUCUAUAACAAGAAGUUCCUUUUUCCUUCCUGUUGUUUACAACCCCAUAUGGUUUGCUGUGGUAAUUCUCCUGUAACCAAGUUAGGUGGGUGACCAGCAGUACAUGCAAAAGAUGACGCAUAUUCAAAAUGCAGAAACUUUUGUUUCAGAGGAAGAAAAAUCCACUGUUGAUGUCACAAACUUUACCCCAGCAUAGUGAAUAAUUUUUGUCCAUCUUCAUAAUUGUAGGCUUUGUGCCACCAGCAAAGAACUAUCUGUUCUGCACAAUUAAGUUCUUUACUUUAUAGAGACUGACAAGGAGCUUUGUGAAGUGCCAGAAUAAUAACUCCUGGGAGAAUCAAAACAGGGGCAUGGAAACACUUGUACAGCUUUUGAGAAGUCUCUCGCUGUGAGUUACUUUUGGGUGGAUGAAUGGGUAGAUAAAUCAAUAGGCACAUAAACAACAACAGACGGAGAAGAUACACAGUUCACUGAAGUUUAUAGUUCUCUGGAAAGGUAAAUCUUGCAUAGCAGCUCUGGGUUUGCACACAGCAGCAUACUGCAUUGUUAUUUCCUAGGUGUUGUGGCAGGCAUAUCAAUCCUGAACACAGCAGAGCCUCAUAGCAUGCAAUGGAGCCACAAACUCAGAGUCUGCUGUGCUACCCGUACAGGAGCUUCCACAGACCUGUGAAGGUCUAACUGCAAGACAACAGCCUCCCAAGGGAUGGCAACUUUUGCAAAAGGCCAAAUCUAAUUCUGUGAUCCUCCUACUGUUGUAUGGUGCUGUAUUUUCUAAUGUUCAUUCUAUGUGAAACAAGUUUACCAAAUAGGUAAAAGUUAUCCCUAUCAGUUUACAUAAAAUAGACCAGCUACAAAGAAUCCAGUAAUGCUACAAGGUCACUCAGAAAGCUUUUUACUUAGCCAGAAGGAAAACCUUGAUUUCUUGGUCUGCGUUUACGUUGACCAGUAGGGUGGUGUGUGGUAUACGCAGGGAUCUUAUUCCAUUGAAAGUGCAGAUGAGGCACUUUUUCAGAAUAUGCCAGGGCUUCUGUCCAGCUCACAUGCCCUCUGGGGACACCAGACCCUGGAGGGGGCAGGUGGCACAUGCCUGUGUCUCAUUUCAGCACGGCGUGGGAGCACACACCUCAGAAAUGCUCCUGGGUAGCACCAGCACAGGCAUAGUUUAAACUCCUUUCCAACAUUGUUCUUCUUCUCGUUUCUGUCAUAAGCCCAAAGAGGACGGGAGUAUAAUUCUUGUUCUGAUUCGAUUUUCUAUUAAACAAAAGAAACGCUGUGGUGCUUGUCCUAUUCCUGCAGCUACAGAUCCAUGGGUUAAUAUAUAACCAGUAUAUUCCUGAAGCAUUUAAGUUGCUAUUUCCCCUCACUUUGCCAAGGUAAUGAGGUGUUUGAUGAAGGGAGUUCAGCUGCAGACCUGCAAAUGUACAUUCUGUAGGCUAGAGAGAAACCACAACAGGCUCUUGCGUUUAAUAUUCUGAUAAAUUGGGCACUUCUGCACCUUACAUCAGGCAGUGACACAAUGCAGCCUUGUUAAUCCAAAUAGAAACUGUUCCUUCAGUAAUGGAGUCUAGGUCUGUUUCAGCAAAAUUAGAUUUGCAUCGCUAAUUCAAAACACCAUAAAAAUCCAAAGGAUGCUCUGGAAGUGGAGGUUAUCCGCUCAUCUGUUCAGAUAAGUGAAGCAUAAAGCCUCAACCAUGUGAGGAGGUAAUGGAACAAGUUGAUGUCAACAUACAGCAUUGGUUAGUUAGAUUAAAAGAGCAUAUCUGGUGAUGAUUGUUUUCUGAGAAACACAUCAAGAAGUGUAUUAAAACAGCUCAGAAUCACUGAUGGGUUUUGUUAUCUACUGCCCAGUUUUAUAUUGCUGAUAACUCCAAGGCCAUCCUUCUUUUUCAAGACUUUGAACAAUGUAAUUGAGGUUUCUUGGAAAUAAAUCAAUACUUGAUACCACUUCUGAAUAACGUGCUCACCAGACAAUCUGCCUUCCUUAUUGAGACACAGCUAGGAGUCACCGGUGUCAGGGUUUAAGCUCUCACCUUUUUGCUUGUGUGUUUAUUUUGUCAGGGAGGUUUUCUGGUGGCAGUUAAAGCCUCAGCCCUUUCUUUUCCAAGCCACAGCUGCUGUGCUGCAGCACGCAGGCGCUCCACGCCAGAGGACAACCGUGAUCGACUCUUGUUUCAUUAACCCCCUCUGCAAAUGCGGGUGGAAGGCAGACAGUGGUUGAUUGACUGCAGUUUUCAGCUGUCAUCUGCAAGAGCAGUUCAUCACGCUUUGCCUUUCAUUCAUCCUCUGCUCCUCGGUAGUGUACACAGAAAAUGAGAAAGCAAUAGACUCUAAACAGCAUUACUCAGUGGGGAGGAGAAAGGUGCUCUGUGGGGUACUGUCCUAAAACAACUGUGCCCCUGCUUUUAGCUGCACAUGGUAGCACCUCUCUUUGAGGCACCAGGAUGGGAAGUCAUUUUAGUAAAAAAAAUUAUUUACCUUUUUUAAACAUGAUUAAUUCAGGACCUGGCAAAGUUUAGGUAAAUUCUCUGGAGUCUUGAAACUGUUUAGUCUAAAUUUUAAGGGAAACGAAAUUGCACUUUUGAGUGGUUAGGUCAUAGGUAAGCCCUACGACUCUUACUUUUGCUUCGAAAUGAAGCUGAAAUAGGAGGAUUUAGUAAAGCCUCUGAAGGCUGGAGGUUGUGUUAAAAAAAAAA